RNAcentral lists this ribosomal RNA (218 nucleotides) under uncultured bacterium. RNAcentral describes it as "partial 16S ribosomal RNA". It matches the Rfam family "Bacterial small subunit ribosomal RNA", at positions 328 to 539 of the family's 1533-position model. The record is from RNAcentral.
ACGCUCGACACCUACGGGAGGCAGCAGUGAGGAAUAUUGGUCAAUGGACGCAAGUCUGAACCAGCCAUGCCGCGUGCAGGAUGACGGCUCUAUGAGUUGUAAACUGCUUUUGUACGAGGGUAAACGCAGAUACGUGUAUCUGUCUGAAAGUAUCGUACGAAUAAGGAUCGGCUAACUCCGUCCCAGCAGCCGCGGUAAUCUGAGCGGGCUGGCAAGGC